Molecule: ribosomal RNA, 497 nt
Filed under: uncultured bacterium
Lineage: Bacteria
Description: partial 16S ribosomal RNA
Rfam family: Bacterial small subunit ribosomal RNA
Source: RNAcentral
GAUGAACGCUGGCGGCGUGCCUAAUACAUGCAAGUCGAGCGAACAGACGAGGAGCUUGCUCCUCUGACGUUAGCGGCGGACGGGUGAGUAACACGUGGAUAACCUACCUAUAAGACUGGGAUAACUUCGGGAAACCGGAGCUAAUACCGGAUAAUAUAUUGAACUGCAUGGUUCAAUAGUGAAAGACGGUUUUGCUGUCACUUAUAGAUGGAUCCGCGCCGCAUUAGCUAGUUGGUAAGGUAACGGCUUACCAAGGCAACGAUGCGUAGACGACCUGAGAGGGUGAUCGGCCACACUGGAACUGAGACACGGUCCAGACUCCUACGGGAGGCAGCAGUAGGGAAUCUUCCGCAAUGGGCGAAAGCUUGACGGAGCAACGCCGCGUGAGUGAUGAAGGUCUUCGGAUCGUAAAACUCUGUUAUUAGGGAAGAACAAAUGUGUAAGUACCUAUGCACGUCUUGACGGUACCUAAUCAGAAAGCCACGGCUAACUACGUG